CAGUAGCCGCGGUAAUACGUAGGGUGCGAGCGUUAAUCGGAAUUACUGGGCGUAAAGCGUGCGCAGGCGGUUGUGUAAGACAGGUGUGAAAUCCCCGGGCUUAACCUGGGAACUGCGCUUGUGACUGCACAGCUAGAGUAUGGCAGAGGGGGGUGGAAUUCCACGUGUAGCAGCGAAAUGCGUAGAGAUGUGGAGGAACACCGAUGGCGAAGGCAGCCCCCUGGGCCAAUACUGACGCUCAUGCACGAAAGCGUGGGGAGCAAACAGGAUUAGAUACCCGCGUAGUCCCUGUCUCUUAUAC
Molecule: ribosomal RNA, 301 nt
Filed under: uncultured bacterium
Lineage: Bacteria
Description: partial 16S ribosomal RNA
Rfam family: Bacterial small subunit ribosomal RNA
Source: RNAcentral